AGCGCAGGAGCGGAGGCGGGAUCGAGAGCGAGGACAUGGUCAGGAGCGGGGCAUUGCGCGGGGCGAGCGGGCGAGCGUGGCUUGGAUCUUGAGGGGAGGGGAGGCUGCUGGGUGGUGCUUACGUCGGCGGCGGAGUGGGGGCGGGGCGGGCGNCGGGGCGGGGCGGGGGGAGGGCCGGGGGAGCUGACGGGAGUGGAGGGGGACGAAGCUCCCAGCACAGCCUGGCCGCGCGCCCCGCGUGCGUGACGUGACGUGAUGGACUCGUGCACAGCCACUUCGCCCGGAGCAGAAAUAGGUGGUGCCACGGCGACGAGCACACCGGCUCAAAAAAAAGAAAGGCGGGUGUGGAUUUUAUUCUUUUACUAAUGUGUCACAUAUGUCAUUGCUAAUGAUGGUGAUUCACACACUCCCCUCACCCCUCCCCGCGUCGUCUCCUCUAAGGCGAUAACCCUAGCCGUCGUCGUCGCGCCCCUCCCCCCCCCUCCAUCCCCUCCCCCNNNNNNNNNNNNNNNNNNNNNNNNNNNNNNNNNNNNNNNNNNNNNNNNNNNNNNNNNNNNNNNNNNNNNNNNNNNNNNNNNNNNNNNNNNNNNNNNNNNNNNNNNNNNNNNNNNNNNNNNNNNNNNNNNNNNNNNNNNNNNNNNNNNNNNNNNNNNNNNNNNNNNNNNNNNNNNNNNNNNNNNNNNNNNNNNNNNNNNNNNNNNNNNNNNNNNNNNNNNNNNNNNNNNNNNNNNNNNNNNNNNNNNNNNNNNNNNNNNNNNNNNNNNNNNNNNNNNNNNNNNNNNNNNNNNNNNNNNNNCCUCCCCCUCCGUCGCCGCCUGAGGUGUGCUCCGGUGAGCGCGCUCCACACCGAUGAAGGUGGCGGCGAGGAUCUGGCGGUUCCACAACACGCAGAGGGCCUCGGCAUCUCGGGUGGUGACCACGGGUGGCGUGUGCAAGGUGGACAUGGCGGCGGGGUCGCCUCUGUUGGUGCUAGUGUUGGGGCGCCCUUGGUCAUGCGGGUGACGAGGCGUCGGCGACCCUCGGUUGCUGGUGUGCACCACUCCCCGCAGGUUUGCCACCGCCGAGGAAGCCCACCCCCUCCACCUCGAUCUGCUCCUUCCAACACCGGAUCGGGGUCCUAGUGGCUUAGGUCGCUGCUCCCGGUUGCUGGUUGUGCGGAUCUCGUUUGGUGGGGGAACCCGUGCCGACGCGGCGGCCACACCAAAGGCGACGCCUUGGGCACCGUUCCCCUCAUUGGAGGUUGUGGUGUGGAUCCUCUCCCCCUCCUUUCGUCCCCUGCUAGGUGAAAACUUAGGUCCCCUGCUUUGGGUGGUGACGGCACGUCUGUGUCGUAUUUCUUCUGUUGGAAAUAUGCCCUNNNNNNNNNNNNNNNNNNNNNNNNNNNNNNNNNNNNNNNNNNNNNNNNNNNNNNNNNNNNNNNNNNNNNNNNNNNNNNNNNNNNNNNNNNNNNNNNNNNNNNNNNNNNNNNNNNNNNNNNNNNNNNNNNNNNNNNNNNNNNNNNNNNNNNNNNNNNNNNNNNNNNNNNNNNNNNNNNNNNNNNNNNNNNNNNNNNNNNNNNNNNNNNNNNNNNNNNNNNNNNNNNNNNNNNNNNNNNNNNNNNNNNNNNNNNNNNNNNNNNNNNNNNNNNNNNNNNNNNNNNNNNNNNNNNNNNNNNNNNNNNNNNNNNNNNNNNNNNNNNNNNNNNNNNNNNNNNNNNNNNNNNNNNNNNNNNGUCCCUAGCAAGCCUCUAGUUGGCUAGCUAGUUGAUCAAGGAUGGUCAAGGUUUUUUGACCAUAUGCAAGUGUUAUCACUUGAUAACUGGAUCACAUCAUUAGGAGAAUCAUGUGAUGGACUAGACCCAAACUAUAAACGUAGCAUAUGAUCGUGUCAUUUUGUUGCUAUCGUUUUCUGCGUGUCAAGUAUUUAUUCCUAUGACCAUGAGAUCAUAUAACUCACUGACACCGGAGGAAUACCUUGUGUGUAUCAAACGUCGGAACGUAACUGAGUGACUAUACAGGUGCUCUACAGGUAUCUCCGAAGGUGUCCGUUGAGUUAGUAUGGAUCAAGAAUGGGAUUUGUCACUCCGUGUGACGGAGAGGUAUCUCGGGGCCCACUUGGUAAUACAACAUCACAAACAAGUCUUGCAAGCAAUGUGACUAAGUGUAAGUCACGAGAUCUUGUAUUACGGAACGAGUAAAGGGAAUUGCUGGUAACGAGAUUGAAAUAGGUAUACGGAUACCGACGAUCGAAUCUCAGGCAAGUAACAUACCGAAUGACAAAGGGAAUGACAUACGGGAUUAUAUGAAUCCCUGGCAUUGAGGUUCAACCGAUAAGAUCUUCGGAGAAUAUGUAGGAUCCAAUAUGGGCAUACAGGAACCGCUAUUGGAUAUUGACCGAGGAGUGUCUCGGGUCAUGUCUACAUAGUUCUCGAACCCGCAGGGUUUGCACACUUAAGGUUCGAUGAUGUUUUAGUAUAGUUGAGUUAUAUGUGUGGUUGCCGAAUGUUGUUCGGAGUCCCGGAUGAGAUCACAGACAUCACGAGGGUUUCCGGAAUGGUCCGGAAACGAAGAAUGAUAUAUAGGAUGGUUUCAUUUGGUCACCAAAAAGUUUCGGGCAUUACCAGCAGUGUACAGGGAGUGACGAAUGGGUUCCGGGUAUUCACCGGGAGGGGCCCACCCACCCGGGAGUGAGCCCAAUGACCCUAGGGUGGCGCACCAGCCCUUAGUGGGCUGGUGAGGCCAUCCCAAUAGGGCGAUGGUGCCACAAGUGGAAAAACACCAAAGGAAAGGGGGGAAAAGGAAAGAGGGAGGUGGGAAGGAAGGAGUGGACUCAUUCCCCCAAACCGAAUUAGAGUGGGAGUCCACCUCCUCCCCUUUGGUCGGCGCACCUUGGGGCUCCUUGAGCCCCAAGGCUAGCCCCUCCCCUCCUCCUAUAUAUACUGGUGGUUUUAAGGCUUUUGAGACACAACUUUGCCACGUGCAACUCAAAUCUAUACCACGUAGUUUUACCUCUAUAUCGGAUUUCUACGGAGCUCGGGCGGAGCCCUGCAGGAGUAGAUCAUCACCACCACCGGAGAGCUGCCACACUGCCGGAGAACUCAUCUACUUCUCCAUCUCUCUUGCUGGAUCAAGAAGGCCGAGAUCGUCAUCGAGCUGUACGUGUGCUGAAUGCGGAGGUGCCGUCCGUUUGGCGCUAGAUCGAAACAGAUCAUGGGACGGAUCGUGGGACGACGGUGAUUUGAAUCACGAAGCUAUACCACUACAUCAACCACGUUUCUUAACGCUUCCCGCUUAGCGAUCUACAAGGGUACGUAGAUCUAAUCUCCUCUUGUAGAUGGACAUCACCAUGAUAGGUCUUCGUGUGCGUAGGAAAAUUUUUGUUUCGCAUGCAACGUUCCCCAACAAUGGCAUCAUGAGCUAGGUUCAUGCGUAGAUGUUAUCUCGAGUAGAACACAAAAGGUUUUGUGGAUGUUGAUGUUCGAUUUGCUGCCCUCCUUAUUCUUUUCUUGAUUUCGUGGUAUUGUUGGAUUGAAGCGGCCCGGACCGACAUUACUCGUAUGCUUACGAGAGACUGGUUUCAUCGACUCACAUGCAACUCGUUGCAUAAAGAUGACUAGCGGGUGUCGGUUUCUUCAACUUUAGUUGAAUUGGUUUUAACCGAGGCGGUCCUUGGAGAGAGGUUAAAUAGCAAUUUGCACAUCUCCGUUGUGGUUUUUGCGUAAGUAAGAUGCGAUCAUACUAGAUACCUAUAGCAGCCACGUAAAACAUGCAACAACAAAUUAGAGGACGUCUAACUUGUUUUUGCAGGGUAUGCUUGUGAUAUGAUAUGGCCAAUGACGUGAUGUGAUAUAUUGGAUGUAUGAGAUGAUCAUGUUGUAAUAGUUAAUAUCGACUUCCACGUCGAUGCUACGACAACCGACAGGAGCUAUAGGGUUGUCUUUAAACUAACAUUUGUGUUUGCAGAUGCGUUUACUAUAUUGCUAGGUCGUAGCUUUAGUAGUAAUAGCAUAGAUAGCAUGACAACUUCGAUGGCGGCACGAUGAUGGAGAUCAUGAUGAUGGAUAUCAUGGUGUGGCGCCGGUGACAAGAAGAUUAUGUCGGUGCUUUGGUGAUGGAGAUCAAGAAGCACAAGAUGAGGCCAUAUCAUGUCACUUAUGAAUUGCAUGUGAUGUUAAUCCUUUUAUGCACCUUAUUUUGCAUAGAACGACGGUAGCAUUAUAAGGUGAUCUCUCACUAAAAUUUCAAGAUGAAAUUGUGUUCUCCCCGACUGUGCACCGUGGCGACAAUUCGUCGUUUCGAGACACCACGUGAUGAUCGGGUGUGAUCGACUCAACGUUCACAUACAACGGGUCCAAAACAGUUGCACACGUGGAACACUCGUGUUAAACUUGACGAGCCUAGCAUGUGCAGACAUGGCCUCGGAACACAUGAGACCGAAAGGUCGAGCAUGAAUCGUAUAGUUGAUAUGAUCAGCAUAGAGAUGCUUACCACUAAAACUAUUCUCAACUCACGUGAUGCUCGGACUUGAGUUAGUGAAUUUGGAUCAUGUACCACUCAAAUGACUAGAGAUAUGUAAUUUUUGAGUGGGAGUUUAUUAGUAAUUUGAUUAGUUAAACUCUAAUUAUCUUAAACAUAGUCUAAGUCCACUUUGCAAUAUUUGUGUUGUAGAUCAAUGGCUCACGCAGUAGCAACCCUGAAUUUUAAUACGUUCCUAGAGAAAGCUAAGUUGAAAGAUGAUGGAAGCAACUUUGUAGACUGGGCUCGUAAUCUAAAGCUGCUCCUACAAGCUGGGAAGAAGGAUUGUGUCCUUAAUGCUGCGCUAGGAGAUGAACCACCCGCUACGUCUAGCCAAGAUGUUUUGAACGAGUGGUUAACACGUAAGGAGGACUACUCAGUAGUUCAAUGUGUAGUCUUGUAUGGCUUGGAACCGGGACUUCAACGUCACUUUGAGCGUCAUGGAGCAUAUGAGAUACUAGAGCAGUUGAAGUUUAUCUUUUAGAAGAACGCACAGAUCGAGAGGUAUGAGACCUUCGAUAAAUUAUAUGCUUGCAAGAUGGAGGAGAAUUCGUCUGUUAGUGAACAUGUGCUCAAAAUGUCUGGAUACUCAAACCGUCUAGCUGAGCUGGGGAUUGAACUCCCACAAGAGGCUAUCACUGAUAGAAUUAUUCAAUCACUGCCACCUAGCUAUAAGAGCUUUGUGUUGAACUAUAACAUGCAAGGGAUGAACAAGUCACCUCGCGAGUUAUUCGCGAUGCUGAAAGUCACAGAGUCAGAACUCCGGAAAGAGCAUCAAGUGUUGAUGGUCAAUAAGACCACUGGUUUCAAGAGAAACGACAAAGGCAAGAAGGGUAACUCCAAGAAGAGCGGCAAGCCUGUUGCCAAUCCGACGAAGAAACCCAAGGAUGGACCUAAGCCUGAAACAGAGUGUUACUAUUGCAAGGGAAUGGGUCACUAGAAGCGCAACUGCCCCAAGUAUUUGGCUGAUAAGAAGGCGGCCAAGGAAAAAUCAGGUAUAUUUGAUAUAGAUGUUAUUGAUGUGUACUUAACCAACUCUCGUAGUAGUGCCUGGGUAUUUGAUACGGGUUCUGUUGCUCAUAUUUGCAACUCGAAGCAGGAACUGCGGAAUAAACAAAGGAUGGCGAAAGGACGAAGUGACGAUGCGCGUGGGAAAUGGUUCCAAGGUUUAUGCAAUCGCCGUCGGCAUAGUCUCACUUCAGUUACCAUCAGGAUUAGUUAUGAACUUAAAUAAUUUUUAUUUAGUGCCUGCGUUAAGCAUGAACAUUAUAUAUGGAUCUUGUUUAUUGCGAGACGGUUACUCGUUUAAGUCAGAGAAUAAUGGUUGUUCUAUUUCUAUGAGUAAUAUCUUUUAUGGUCAUGCACCCAAUGUGUGACGAUUGUUCAUAUUGAAUCUUGAUAGCAAUGAUACACAUAUACAUAACAUUGAGACCAAAAGAUGUAGAGUUAACAAUGAUAGCGCCAUGUUUUUGUGGCACUGCCGCUUAGGUCAUAUUUGUGUAAAGCGCAUGAAGAAACUCCAUUCCGAUGGGCUUUUGGAGUCACUUGAUUUUGAAUCACUUGACACGUGCGAACCAUGCCUCAUGGGCAAGAUGACUAAGACUCCGUUCUCCGGAACAAUGGAGCGUGCAAGUGACUUGCUGGAAAUCAUACAUACCGAUGUGUGCGGUCCGAUGAGUGUGGAGGCGCGCGGCGGAUAUCGUUAUUUUCUCACCUUCACUGACGAUUUGAGUAGGUAUGGAUAUAUCUACUUGAUGAAGCACAAGUCUGAAACGUUUUAGAAGUUCAAGGAAUUUCAGAGUGAAGUUGAAAAUCAUCGUAACAAGAAGAUCAAGUUCCUACGUUCUGAUCGUGGGGGUGAAUAUCUGAGUUUCGAGUUUGGUGCUCACCUAAGACAAUGUGGAAUUGUUUCACAGUCAACACCGCCUGGAACACCACAACGUAAUGGUGUGUCCGAACGUCGUAAUCGUACUUUGUUAGAAAUGGUGCGACCUAUGAUGUCUCUUACCGAUUUGCCGUUAUCGUUUUGGGGUUAUGCAUUAGAGACAACUGCAUUCACUUUAAAUAGGGCACCAUCAAAAUCCGUUGAGACGACACCAUACGAGCUGUAGUAUGGCAAAAGACUAAAGUUGUCGUUUCUUAAAGUUUGGGGAUGUGAUGCUUAUGUCAAAAAACUUCAGCCUGAAAAGCUGGAACCCAAAGCGGAAAAGUGCGUCUUCAUAGGUUACCCAAAGGAGACAGUUGGGUACACCUUCUAUCUCAAAACCGAGGGCAAAGUGUUUGUUGCUAAGAACGGAGCUUUUCUUGAGAAGGAGUUUCUCUCGAAAGAAUUGAGUGGGAGGAAGAUAGAACUUGAUGAGGUUGUCGAACCUCUAAUCCCUCUAGAUGGUGGCACAAGGCAGGGGAACCUUUGUCGAAGCGAUGCCGGUUGAGGAGGAAGUUAAUGAUGAUGAUCAUGAAACUUCGGAUCAAGUUCCUAUCGGACCUCGCAGGUCGACAAGAUCACGUACUACUCCUGAGUGGUACGGUAAUAUUGGCUUAUCAAUCAUGUUGUUAGACAACAAUGAACCUGCGAAUUAUGAAGAAGCAAUGGUGGGCCCGGAUUCCAACAAAUGGCUGGAGGCCAUGAAGUACGAUAUAGGAUCUAUGUAUGAAAACAAAGUGUGGACUUUGGAAGUAUUACCUGAAGGCCGCAAGGCUAUUCAGAACAAAUGGAUCUUUAAGAAGAAGACGGACGCAUACGGUAAUGUGACCGUUUAUAAAGCUCGACUUGUGGCAAAGGGUUUUUCACAAGUUCAAGGAGUUGACUACGAUGAGACAUUCUCACCGGUAGCGAUGCUUAAGUCCGUCGGAAUCAUGUUAGCAAUAGCUACAUAUUUCGAUUAUGAAAUCUGGCAGAUGGAUGUCAAAACGGCGUUCCUUAACGGUUUUCUUAAGGAAGAGUUGUAUAUGAUGCAACACGAAGGUUUUGUCGAUCCAGAGAAUGCUAGCAAAGUAUGCAAGCUCCACCGAUCCAUUUAUGGACUGGUGCAAGCAUCUCGGAGUUGGAAUAAGCGCUUUGAUGAGGUGAUCAAAGCAUUUGGGUUUACACAAGUGGUUGGAGAAUCUUGUAUUUACAAGAAAGUGAGUGGGAGCUUUGUGGCAUUUCUAAUAUUACAUUUAUAUUUGGAUGACAUAUUGCUGAUUGCAAAUGACGUGGGGUUUUUUGGAGAGCGUAAAGGAUUACUUGAAUAAAAGUUUCUCUAUGAAGGACCUAGGAGAAGCUGCUUACAUUCUAGGCAUUAAGAUCUAGAGGGAUAGAUCGAGAUGUCUGAUAGGACUUUCACAAAGCACAUACCUUGAUAAAGUUUUGAAGAAGUUCAAAAUGGAACAGUCCAAGAAGGGGUUCUUGUCAGUGUUACAAGGUAUAAAAUUGAGUAAGACUCAGUGCCCAGCAACUGCGGAAGAUAGAGAACAGAUGAGUUCCGUCCCCUAUGCUUCAGUCAUAGGUUUUGUCAUGUAUGCAAUGUUAUGCACUAGACCGGACGUCAGCUUGGCCAUAAGUAUGGCAGGCAGGUUUCAAAGUAAUCCAGGAGUGGAUCACUGGAUGACGGUCAAUAAUAUUCUGAAGUACCUUAAAAGGACUAAGGAAAUGUUUCUCGUUUAUGGAGGUGACGAAGAGCUCGUCGUAAAGGGUUACGUCGACGCAAGCUUUGACACUAAUCCGGAUGACUCUAAGUCUCAAACCAGAUACAUAUUUAUUCUUAAUGGGGGUGCGGUAAGCUGGUGCAGUUCCAAGCAAAGCAUCAUAGCAGAUUCUACAUGUGAAGCGGAGUACAUGGUUGCCUCAGAGGCAGCUAAGGAGGGUGUCUGGAUGAAGCAGUUCAUGAGGGAUCUUGGAGUUGUGCCGAGCGCACUAAAUCCAAUAACUAUGUUCUGUGACAACACUGGUGCCAUUGCUUUAGCAAAGAAACCAAGGUUUCACAAGAAGACCAGGCACAUCAAACGACGCUUCAACCUCAUCCACGACUACGUCGAAGGAGAGGACGUAAAUAUUUGCAAAGUGCACACGGAUCUGAAUGUAGCAGAUCCGCUGACUAAACCUCUUCCACGGGCAAAACAUGAUCAACACCAGAAAUGUAUGGGUGUUAGAUUUAUUACAAUGUAAAUCGCAUGGCGAUGUGAGGACUAGAUUAUUGACUCUAGUGCAAGUGGGAGACUGUUGGAAAUAUGCCCUAGAGGCAAUGAUAAAAUAGUUAUUACUAUAUUUCCUGUUUUAAGAUAAUCGUUUAUUAUCCAUGCUAUAAUUGUAUUGAAUGAAAACAUAGAUACAUAUGUGGAUACAUAGACAAAACAAUGUCCCUAGCAAGCCUCUACUUGGCUAGCCAGUUGAUGAAGGAUGGUCAAGGUUUUCUGACCAUAUGCAAAUGUUGUCACUUGAUAACUGGAUCACAUCAUUAGGAGAAUCAUGUGAUGGACUAGACCCAAACUAUAAACGUAGCAUGUGAUCGUGUCAUUUUGUUGCUAUUGUUUUCUGUGUGUCAAGUAUUUAUUCCUAUGACCAUGAGAUCAUAUAACUCACUGACACUAGAGGAAUACCUUGUGUGUAUAAAACGUGGCAACGUAACUGGGUGACUAUAAAGGUGCUCUACAAGUAUCUCCGAAGGUGUCUGUUAGUUAGUAUGGAUCAAGACUGGGAUUUGUCACUCCGUGUGACGGAGAGGUAUCUCGGGGCCCACUCGAUAAUACAACAUCACAAACAAGCCUUGAAAGCAAUGUGACUAAGUGUAAGUCACAGGAUCUUGUAUUACGGAACGAGUAAAGAGACUUGCCGGUAACGAGAUUGAAAUAGGUAUACGGAUACCGACGAUCGAAUCUUGGGCAAGUAACAUACGGAAGGACAAAGGGAAUGACAUACGGGAUUAUAUGAAUCCCUGGAACUGAGGUUCAACCGAUAAGAUCUUCGGAGAAUAUGUAGGACCCAAUAUGGGCAUCCAGGUCCCGCUAUUGGAUAUUGACCGAGGAGUGUCUCGGGUCAUGUCUACAUAGUUCUCGAACCCGCAGGGUCUGCACACUUAAGGUUCGAUGAUGUUUUAGUAUAGUUGAGUUAUAUGUGUGGUUGCUGAAUGUUGUUCAGAGUCCCGGAUAAGAUCACAGACGCCACGAGGGUUUCCAGAAUGGUCCGGAAACAAAGAUUGAUAUAUAGGAUGGUUUCAUUUGGUCAUCGGAAAGUUUCGGGCGUUACGACAGUGUACCCGGAGUGACGAAUGGGUUUCGGGUAUUCACUGGGAGGGGCCCACCCACUCGAGAGUGAGCCGAGUGACCCUAGGGUGGUGCACCAGCCCUUAGUGGGCUGGUGAGGCCAGCCCAAUAGGGCCAUGGCACCACAAGUGGAAAAACACCAAAGGAAAGGAAAAAAGGACAGAGGGAGGUGGGAAGGAAGGUGUGGACUCCUUCCCCCAAACCGAAUUGGGGUGGGAGUCCACCUCCUCCCCUUCAAUCGACGCAGCUUGGGGCUCCUUGAUCCCCAAGGCUAGCCCCUCCCCUCCUCCUAUAUAUACUGGUGGUUUUAGGGCUUUUGAGACACAACUUUGCCACCUGCAACUCAAACCUAUACCACAUAGUUUUACCUCUAGAUCGGAUUUCUGCGGAGCUCGGGCGGAGCCGUGCAGGAGUAGAUCAUCACCACCACCAGAGCGCCGUCACGCUGCCGGAGAACUCAUCUACUUCUCCGUCUCUCUUGCUCGAUCAAGAAGGUCGAGAUCGUCAUCGAGCUGUACGUGUGCUGAACACGGAGGUGUCGUCCGUUCGGCGCUAGAUCGGAACGGAUCGUGGGACAGAUCGUGGGAUGACGGUGAUUUGAAUCACGAAGUUGUACCACUACAUCAACCGCAUUUCUUAACGCUUUCUACUUAGCGAUCUACAAGGGUACGUAGAUCUAAUCUCCUCUCGUAGAUGGACAUCACCAUGAUAGGUCUUCGUGUGCGUAGGAAUUUUUUGUUUCCCAUGCAACCUUCCCCAACAGUGGCAUCAUGAGCUAGGUUCAUGCGUAGAUGUUAUCUCGAGUAGAACAAAAGGUUUUGUGGACGUUGAUGUUCGAUUUUCUGCCCUCCUUAGUCUUUUCUCGAUUCGGCAGUAUUGUUGGAUUGAAGCGGCCCGGACCGACAUUACUCGUACGCUUACGAGAGACUGGUUUCAUCGACUGACAUGCAACUCGUUGCAUAAAGAUGACUAGCGGGUGUCGGUUUCUUCAACUUUAGUUGAAUUGGUUUUGACCGAGGCGGUCCUUGGAGAGAGGUUAAAUAGCAAUUUGCACAUCUCCGUUGUGGUUUUUGCGUAAGUAAGAUGCAAUCAUACUACAUACCCAUAGCAGCCACGUAAAACAUGCAACAACAAAUUAGAGGACGUCUAACUUGUUUUUGAAGGGUAUGCUUGUGAUAUGAUAUGGCCAAUGACGUGAUGUAAUAUAUUGGAUGUAUGACAUGAUCAUGUUGUAAAAGUUAAUAUCUACUUGCACGUCGAAUCUACGGUAACCAGCAAAAGCCAUAGGGUUGUCUUUAAACUAAUGUUUGUGUUUGCAGAUGCGUUUACUAUAUUGCUAGGUUGUAGCUUUAGUAGUAAUAGCAUAGAUAUCACGACAACCUCAAUGGCGGCACGAUGAUGGAGAUCAUGAUGAUGGAGAUCAUGGUGUGGCGCCGGUGACAAGAAGAUCAUGUUGGUGCUUUGGUUAUGGAGAUCAAGAAGCACAAGAUGAUGGCAUGUCACUUAUGAAUUGCAUGUGAUGUUAAUCCUUUUAUGCACCUUAUUUUGCUUAGAACGACGGUAGUAUUAUAAGGGGAUCUCUUACUAAAAUUUCAAGAUGAAAUUGUGUCUCCCCGACUGUGCACCGUUGCGACAGUUCAUCAUUUCGAGACACCACGUGAUGAUCGGGUGUGAUAGACUCAACGUUCACAUACAACGGGUCCAAAACAGUUGCACAAGCGGAACACUCGGGUUAAACUUGACAAGCCUAGAAUGUGCAGACAUGGCCUCGGAACACAUGAGACCGAAAGGUCGAGCAUGAAUCGUAUAGUUGAUAUGAUUAGCAUAGAGAUGCUUACCACUGAAACUAUUCUCAACUCACGUGAUGAUCGGACUUGAGUUAGUGAAUUUGGAUCAUGUACCACUCAAAUGACUAGAGAGAUGUACUUUUUGAGUGGGAGUUUAUCAGUAAUUUGAUUAGUUAAACUCUAAUUAUCUUAAACAUAGUCUAAGUUCACUUUGCAAUAUUUGUGUUGUAGAUCAAUGGCUCACGCAGUAGCAACCCUGAAUUUUAAUACGUUCCUAGAGAAAGCUAAGUUCAAAGAUGAUGGAAGCAACUUUGUAGACUAGGCUCGUAAUCUAAAGUUGCACCUGCAAGCUGGGAAGAAGGAUUAUGUCCUUAAUGUUGCGCUAGGAGAUGAACCACCCGCUAUGUCUAGCCAAGAUGUUUUGAACGCCUGGUUAACACGUAAGGAGGACUACUCAAAAGUUCAAUCUGUAGUCUUGUAUGGCUUGGAACCGGGACUUCAAUGUCGCUUUGAGCAUCAUGGAGCAUAUGAGAUGUUCCAGGAGUUGAAGUUUAUCUUUCAUAAGAACGCCCAGAUCGAGAGGUAUGAGACCUCCGAUAAAUUCUAUGCUUGCAAGAUGGAGGAGAAUUCGUAUGUCAGUGAACAUGUGCUCAAAAUGUUUGGGUACUCAAAUCGUCUAGCUGAGCUGGGGAUUGAACUCCCGCAAGAGGCUAUCACUGACAAAAUUCUUCAAUCAUUGCCACCUAGCUAUAAGAGCUUUGGGUUGAACUAUAACAUGCAAUGGAUGAACAAGUCACCUGACGAGUUAUUCGCGAUGCUGAAAGUCGCAGAGGCGGAACUCCGAAAAGAGCAUCAAGUGUUGAUGGUCAAUAAGACCACUGGUUUCAAGAGAAACGGCAAAGGCAAGAAGGGUAACUCCAAGAAGAGUGGCAAGCGUGUUGCCAAUCCGACGAAGAAACCCAAGGCUGGACCUAAUCCUGAAACAGAGUGUUAUUAUUGGGAAUGGGUCACUGGAAGCGCAACUGCCCCAAGUAUUUGGCUGAUAAGAAUGCGGCCAAGGAAAAAUUAGGUAUAUUUGAUAUACAUGUUAUUGAAGUGUACUUAACCAACUCUCGUAGUAGUGCAUGGGUAUUUGAUACCGGUUCUGUUGCUCAUAUUUGCAACUCGAAGCAGGAACUGCGGAAUAAACGAAGGCUGGCGAAGGAUGAAGUGACGAUGCGCGUGGGAAAUGGUUCCAAGGUUGAUGCAAUCGCCGUUGGCAUAGUCUCACUUCAGUUACCAUCAGGAUUAGUUAUGAACUUAAAUAAUUGUUAUUUAGUGUCUGUGUUAAGCAUGAACAUUAUAUUUGGAUCUUGUUUAUUGCACCGUCCGGGAAUCGCAGGGGCGGCGAGAGAGUUUGGUUGUGGAUGUGAUGAUGGCGGGGGUGAGCUUGGAUUGUGUUAUUCAUUAUCUCUUCAUAGGUUGCAGGCUUCGAGGGUCCGUGACGUGGUCGCCGGAGCGAGAGGGUAUCGGGUUCCCCUCUACGAUGCCAACGGUAUACCUUUUGGUAGGAGCCAUGUGCUUUGGAGAUUCAAGUUCUCGCGUUUGACCUGCUCAUAGUUGUGCCCCUUGCUUCUGUGACUAUGACCGGUAGCUCUCGCCCUUCGGUGUGUCUACGCCACAGACGACGACGAUGCUCGUGAGUACCGUGUCCCGGGCUUGUGGGUGUGCUCUACUUACUUCUUCCUAUUCAGCUUGGAUGCCAACCAUUUGGGUUCUAGGGUGAACCAAGCUGUCGGAUGUCGGUGCUGCAUCCUUUGAGCCAGGAUGAAAGGGAAGGUUCCCUUUGCAGCGGCGGUAACAAAUGGUGGUCUGGUCCAUUUCUGUCUUCGAGGGUGGUUGUGAUCACGAAGCUUGCGCGAUUAUGCAUUCUUCCCUAGCACAGAGUUUAGUUUUGUUGGUGUAGGUCGUCCUGUAGGAUGUUAGCUGCAGUGUGGUGAUGUUUCGGCCCGCUUUUGUUGUUGCCUUCAGUAGUUGUGGCCUUUAUGAACUUGUGGCGUUUCAUGGCCGCAAAAUCUAAGUACUGAAUAGGAAGAAUAGGGUCACUAGACUGCGAUGACACACUACACUUAGAUAAACGGGAGGCAUAAAUCCUGCCAUAAAAAUGGCCGCUGUCAGAGUUGCAUUGCAAUGUGCAUGCUAGGAUUGCUCCAAGAUUAUAGCAUUUAAUUACAGUUAGCACAAUAUGUAGGAGACUCAAGUCUGGGGCACAUAAGGUACUACAAUCCUGCUUGCCCACUAUGCAUUUUCCAUUAAAGAGUGCAAGGUAACAAAUUGAAGGAGUAUGCAUGCUAUUUAUUCUACCUUUAGUUACUCCCCUAUCCUCACUAAAGCAAAGACUAGUUAAAAAUGCAUCAUAUUUGGAUUUUGGUGGUUCGCCUAGAGAACCCCAAGAUGGAAUUUUACAUGCAUGAGAUAAAUCAUCUAGAGACAAGGUGAAGGCAUUAUCAUAGAGGUUAAAGGAGACUCUAAAUCUUCGAGGAUAAAAUUUAAACCCCUUAGUGAAAGUUUUGGUAUGAUAAUGUUGCGCGCACUUAUCUGAGAUGAAGGGUGCGAGAUCAGUAUUAUGAAUGUAUUGUUCAAACUCUUCCCUAAUGCCCGCGCACAACAUGAAGCCAUCACUUGGCCAAAGGCACGAUUUGGUGUGGGCUUCUCGCAUCAAGCUUUCACUUGGCUCAGCAUAAGACCGUUGUAUCGGAGCCUCACUCGAAGAUGCCUCCGAGGACUUCCUCCUCAAAGAAUUCCUCUUGAACCAUCUCAUUAUUCCUAUGUACAAAUUUUUGAAUUUUUUGGGUCACAACAUAAAGUUAACAAAACUUCACAAGAAUGAUUGCAACUACUCAUAAGGAUGCCUAGAGCCUAAAACAAGCAUUCAAACUACUUGGAACUUCAAGAAUUUGACAUGCAAGCUCAUCUACAGCAGCACCUAGAGUAUCUAAUUACUUCUUAGAUAAACUACUAAAUCAAGAACUAAUUCGAGGAGUGGGGAAGUUUCAUACCAAGGAGUAAUCCCCCAAAACAGUUUCAGAAAUGGAGUUUCGAGCAAAGAGAUCAAAACCCGCGAGUUUGAGAGCAAGAACACGGGAGAGAGAGAUACAAGGAUUUUUCGUGGAGGUAGGUCAUGAAGUGAGCUGAAGGGAUAAGUGAGGGGACCCCGAGGGGUCCACUACCCACUAGGGCGCGCCUCGUGGGGGUGGCGCGCCUCGUGGGGGUGGCGCGCCCUGGUGUCUAGUGGACACCUCGGACACCCCCCCUGUGAUGUUUUUAGUGCCACAUAUUCUCAAAUAUUCAGAAAAAAAAUCAUGUGAAAGUUUCAGGUCAUUUGGAGAACUUUUAUUUUGGGCACUUUUUAUUGCACAAAAGAUUUUAAAAAAAAGAUAAGCAUGGCAUUUAUUGUAUUUAAAUAAAAAUAACAUGAAAAUAAAGUGGGUAUAGAAAGUUGUGCCUACUAAAUUCAUCGACCUCAUGCCUCUCGAAAAUGAUCCAUUAACAAGGUUGAUCAAGUCUUAUUAACAACCACUUCCAAUUAGCAUGAACCCGAAGAAUUUUCGUAAAACACUAAGUUACCUCAACGGGGAUGUGCAUAUCCCCAACAAUAAGUAUUUCAUAUUUAUUUUUGGUUGUAGGUAGAGGUAGUUGAAAACUUCCAUUGGUUAUAGUCGGAGAUUUUUCAAUAACAUUAACACCAUUCACUUGGAAUUGUUUCCUCGGAAAAUGCACUGUAUGUUCUUUACCAUUGACAUGUUAAGUGACUUUGCUUUUAUUGCAAUCAAUAAUAUCCCGUGUAGUAUUUAAGAAAGGUCUACGAAGGAUAAUCGACAUGUUGUCAUCCUCAUGCAUAUCAAGUAUAACAAAGUCUGUCAAGAUAGUAACAUUUGCAACAACAACGGGUACAUCCUCACAAAUACCAAUAGGUAUGGCACUUGAUUUGUCACCCAUUUGCAAUGAAAUUUCAGUAGGUGUGAGUUUAUUCAAGUCAAGUCUUUUGAAUAAAGAGACAUGCAUAAUACUAACACCACCUCCUAGAUCACAUAAAGCAGUUUUCACAUAGUUUCUUUUGAUGGAACAUGGUACAGUUGGUAUUCCUGGAUCUCCUAGUUUUUUUGGUACUCCAUCCUUAAAAUAGUAAUUAGCAAGCAUGAUGUAGAUUUGAGAUUCAAGUAUUUUCCUUUUAUUAGUGAUGAUACCUUUCAUAUACUUAGCAUAAGGGGGCAUAUUUAAAAGAUCAGUUAAACGAGUACGCAAAAGACUGGCUUAAGCAUUUCAGCAAAGCGUUCAAAUUCUUCAUCAUCUUUUUUCUUAGUUGGUUUAGGUGGAUAAGGCAUGCAUUUUUGAACCCAUGGCUCUCUUUCUUUGACAUGCUUUCUAGCAAAAAAAUCUCUUAGGUUGUGGGUUAUCAAGAUCAACAAUAGGGUUUGUCUCAACAUCAUUAUCUGGUUCUUUAUCAUUAUUAGGUUGAGCAUGUACAUGAGCAUCAUCAUUAUCAUUUUCAUUAUCACUAGGUGAAUGCUCACUACCAUAUUGAGUUUCAGCAUCACAAAUAGAGAUAUCAUUUGCAUUAUCAGAAGGUUUUUCCGCUUCAGGUUCACUAGAAGUAUGCAAGAUCCUAUCAUUUUUCUUUUUAUUUUUCCUCCUAGAAGGACUAGGUGUAUCAAUAUUAAUUCUUUGUAAAUCUUGUUCAUUUCUUUUAGGAUGGCCUUCUGGAUAUAGUGGAUCUUGAGUCAUUGUUCCUCCUCUAGUCAUUACUCUAACAACAUGAUCAUUCAUAUUAUUAUUCAUUUCAUGAAGUAGCUCACUUUGGGAUUUAGCAACUUGUUAUAGUUGGGUUUGAACCAUAGAAGCAUGUGAAAAGGACGUGGAUGUCGCCUAGAGGGGGGGUGAAUAGGCGCUUUAAAAUAGUUAAGGUUUAGGCUUGAACAAAUGCGGAAUAAAACUAACGUUUAAUAUGUCAAGCACAAAACCCAAAAAACAACUAGGCUCACCUAUGUGCACCAACAACUUAUGCUAAGCAAGAUAAACAACUAAGUGAUAGCAAGAUAUAUUACAAUAAACAAUAUGUCUAUCACAAAGUAAAGUGCAUAAGUAAAUGGUUCGGGUAAGAGAUAACCGAGGCACGGGGAGACGAUGAUGUAUCCCAAAGUUCACACCCUUGCGGAUGCUAAUCUCCGUUAGAGCGGUGUGGAGGCACAAUGCUCCCCAAGAUGCCACUAAGGCCACCGUAAUCUCCUCACGCCCUCGCACAAUGCAAGGUGCCGUAAUUCCACUAAGGGACCCUUGAGGGCGGUCACCGAACCCGUACAAAUGGCAACCCUUGGGGGUGGUCACCGAACCCGUACAUGUGGCAACCCUUGGGGGCGGUUACCGGUACCCGUACAAAUUGCUCGGGGCAAUAUCCACAACCUAAUUGGAGACCCCGACGCUUCCCGGAGCUUCACACCACACUGAUUGAGCUCCGAGACACCACCAAGCUUCUAGGACGCCAAAGCAUCCACGAAGAACAAUAUCAAGGGUACUAAGUACCAAAGGUAGCAAGCUUCUCAACUUCUCACUUCCACGUAUCACCGUGGAGAACUCAAACCGAUGCAACUAAUGCAAUGGCAAGAACACACGAAGUGGUCAAGUCCCUCACACUCAAAUCCCUCCACAACACCAAAAGCUAUGGAGAAAUAUGAGAGGAAGAACAAGGAGCUCACAAAGAACUCCAAGAUCAAGAUCCAAGGGGUUCCCCUCACAUAGAGGAGAAAGUGAUUGGUGGAGAUGUGGAUCUAGAUCUCCUCUCUCUUUUCCCUCAAGAACAAGCAAGAAUCAUUGGAGGGAUAGAGAGUAAUCAAGCUCUAAGAAUGUCAACAAUGGAGGUAGAACAAGAGCUCAACGGAUGGAUAAGACCAAGGGGGAAGAAGACCCCCUUUAUAUAGUGGGGGAAAGAAUCAGACUGUUACCCCCACUCUCUGCCCGAGCUCCAGCGGUACUACCGCUGGCUGCAGCGGUACUAGUGGGGGAAAGAAUCAGACUGUUACCCCCACUCUCUGCCCGAGCUCCAGCGGUACUACCGCUGGCUGCAGCGGUACUACCGCUGGCACUCCAGCGGUACUACCGCCAGCUAGCGGUACUACCGCUGGCUGCAGCGGUACUACCGAUGGCACUCCAGCGGUACUACCGCUGGCCCCAGCGGUACUACCGCUGGGCCCCUGGUAGUGCAAGGGCACUACCACCGCGAAGAAAGUCUUCACAAAAAGGUCCGUCCACGAACAACCGCUAGGCAGGCGGUACUAAGAUCCUGGAGCGGUACUACCGUUGACCAGGGGCGGUACUACCGCUAGGGCCAGCGGUACUACCGCCAACUCUAGCGGUACUACCGCUAGGUCCAGCGGUACUACCGCUCGCCACUGAAACAACCAUAACUUUUGCAUACGAGCUCCGAAUCGAGCAAACCCAAGCUUGUUGGAUUCAGGACGACAAGGGCUAUCCAAACAGCGACCCAAGCUUGUUNNNNNNNNNNNNNNNNNNNNNNNNNNNNNNNNNNNNNNNNNNNNNNNNNNNNNNNNNNNNNNNNNNNNNNNNNNNNNNNNNNNNNNNNNNNNNNNNNNNNGGAUGGGAGGGGGGGGGGAGGGCGCGACGACGACGGCUAGGGUUAUCGCCUUAGAGGAGACGACGCGGGGAGGGGUGAGGGGAGUGUGUGAAUCACCAUCAUUAGCAAUGACAUAUGUGACACAUUAGUAAAAGAAUAAAAUCCACACCCGCCUUUCUUUUUUUUGAGCCGGUGUGCUCGUCGCCGUGGCACCACCUAUUUCUGCUCCGGGCGAAGUGGCUGUGCACGAGUCCAUCACGUCACGUCACGCACGCGGGGCGCGCGGCCAGGCUGUGCUGGGAGCUUCGUCCCCCUCCACUCCCGUCAGCUCCCCCGGCCCUCCCCCCGCCCCGCCCCGCCCCGCCCCCACUCCGCCGCCGACGUAAGCACCACCCAGCAGCCUCCCCUCCCCUCAAGAUCCAAGCCACGCUCGCCCGCUCGCCCCGCGCAAUGCCCCGCUCCUGACCAUGUCCUCGCUCUCGAUCCCGCCUCCGCUCCUGCGCUCCUCGCCGUCUCCGUCUCCACCCGCGAAUUGGAGGAGGCGCGCGGCGCGCGUGCGGGUGCGCGCUCCGGUGGCGGCACUGGCCGGCGACGGCGGGUGCGCGGGGACCGGGAUGGAGCAGCAGCACCUCCAGGCAGGGAGCGCCUCCGGCAGCCCAG
Molecule: long non-coding RNA, 18788 nt
Filed under: Hordeum vulgare
Lineage: Eukaryota; Viridiplantae; Streptophyta; Magnoliopsida; Poales; Poaceae
Description: long non-coding RNA (HVUL_LNC010886)
Source: RNAcentral